Molecule: long non-coding RNA, 1262 nt
Organism: Gadus chalcogrammus (walleye pollock)
Lineage: Eukaryota; Metazoa; Chordata; Actinopteri; Gadiformes; Gadidae
Exons: 3
Source: RefSeq, a predicted model, not a curated record
GUGGGCGGACAUCAAAUCUAUUGUAAAAAAAGAAGGGAACGGAGAGGGCAAGAGAGUUGAAAAAAACCGGAGGAGGGAAGACGACAAUCCAGCUGGACCCACUGGAGGAGAAAUUGUUGGGGGCGAUUGCCGAAACGAUAGUUGAAGGAGUAGAUGGAGGAGUGGACACUGGAGAACCGGGAGAAGACGAUAGCCUGCAAGCAGUAGAUACUUUGGUCGUAAUAGCAGUCAACCAGGAUGCAGAACAAUCCCACACAAUCAAUGCAGCUGAACCAACCCAAGCCCUUACAAAUCAUCAAAACCUGUUACAGAGUCCCGGGGAUGACCUGACAUUAUCCCAGCUAUUCUCAGAAACAUUUCAUACACCUGCCACAUCCAGAAGCAACACAGAGGACAUGGUCUCCCUUCAGCGUCAGCUUUUGGAGGAAGUUAAAAUGCUCUGGCAUACUCAGGAGCAACUCCUGCAGGUGGAGAGGGAAAAGCUGCUCGUCGAGAGGGAGAAGCUUCGCCUUGCCCAAGCCAAGUUUGAUUUAAAAAAAAAUGAAUGUUGAACCUAGAAUAAAAUAGCAAUCACUCAGAGGUUUUCAUGUGUUGUUUAUUGUGGUUUUUCUUCACAUGAAUCUCCUCCUUAUGAGGUCUUGUCUCACUUGCAUGCCAGUGUUACAUGGGGCAGGGACUGGGACAUCUACCUCGGGGAUGUCAGGGAUUGGCAAGCGGUACAUAAUGCAGAUGUUGUGGAGGAUAAAAGCACAGGUAAUAAUUUUACAUGCCCUCUCAGGAGUGUACUGGAGCACUCCACCAGAACGGUCGAUACACCUAAACCUUGACUUCACUACCCCAAUGCACCUCUCCACAACACUACGUGUUUUUCGUUGUGCCCGGCUGUAGCGCUCAUCUGGCUCUGUUGCAGGGUGAAGGAUGGGUGUCAUCAACCAUGGCCUUAAGGCCUAGCCACUGUCUACUGUCAUAGAGGACAUUAGUUAGGGCAAUACAGUAUGUUUUUGUUUUAACCUAAGGUAGAAUUCAUGUGUAGUUCUCACCUAACAACCAACCACCGGGCAUUUCUCCCUCAUUAAAUUGAAUGCCUGUUCCUGAAUUCAUGAGAACAAAUGAGUCGUGGGUGCUACCCGGCCACUUCGCAACAAGGUCUGUCACUCGGAGCGUUGCAUCACAUAUGACCUGUGUGUUUAUUGAGUGGAAAUUUUUCCUGUUCACAAAGGCCUCCUCCUCAUCAUUUGGUGCAUAUGGAAUUAAAAUGUAUG